Long non-coding RNA from Octopus bimaculoides (California two-spot octopus), 1692 nucleotides. The record is from RefSeq and is a predicted model, not a curated record. NCBI's taxonomy places the organism in Eukaryota, Metazoa, Mollusca, Cephalopoda, Octopoda, Octopodidae.
GUUUAAAAUUGCUUAAGAAACACUGAUUUAUAUUCUUUGUGUUGACUAUUUUUAAUUAUAUUAUAUUAUUUCUUCAGAACUAUGACGAUGAGGGUGACCUACCCGAUUAUCUAUGUUUAGACUCGUUAGGAAACAAUCAACAUGACGGUUACGAAGACGUAAACACCAUACAGGGAAACAAUUGGGGCCAUACGAAUCAAAAUUUUGAGAAUGAGACCAGCUGGGGCAUGCCGAUGGAGGCUUAUCCAAAUUCAAGUGUGCCUCAAAGACAAAUACAUCUAUGGAAUAUGUCCAGAAAUUCCAGUUGCUACCUUGACAACUCAACUCCCAUUUAGCACAAGAGGUCAAGCAGGAAUUAGCCACAAGUCUGAAAUACAUGAAAUGACGAAUAUUUAUAUAGAUAUUUUUGUAUAUGUUUUUAUACCUUUUCCACAAGAACUUUUAUUUCUUUAUUAUUUAUAUACAUAUAUAUAUGUGAAUUUGCUCAACGAAAACAACAAAAGAACUAACACAAAAAACAACCACAAAAAGUAACUGAAAUACUGUAAAAUACGUGCUCUUCACCUUCCAGUUAAUUAAUUACUGGAAAAUAUUAUAACUAAAUUAUCUAAUCGUUUUUUGUGCAAAAUUAACUCUUUACUUUUCCAAAGCAUUUUCAUAUGUUUGUCCUAAAUGUCCAUGCUUGUUUUCAGACUUUAGUUAACUCUUGUUAUGUAAUAUCACAUGACCUUUUGGCUAGGGAAUUGCACGCGCGAUCACGGUAUUGGGAUUUCAACUUCUGAACAAGCUGAGGAGUUAUGUUCGUUAUCAAAACGUCAUCUCACGUUGUUCUGCGUUCACUCCGAUACUCGACGCGUGGUACACCGUGUACCCUGGUCAGGCAACGUUGAUUUGACGAAGGGAGUGAGUUAAUGUACAGCACAAACAUUUGUUUACUUUAGACAAAUAAUUUAAACAAAUAAUACGAGAGACUGUUAAUCCUUAUUUCAUACGUUCUGAGUAGUAUAAAGCUUUCCUUUCAUAAGUUCCAAGUUACUCUGAUGGUUGAAACAGAUUGAGACUGUCUAUCAUAUACGAUGCAUGGACGCCAAGGGAAUAUGUUAUGCGUAUCACAUGUGAUACACAGGACAGAUAAACAAAAGCUUAGCACAUCGAAUCAAAUUUAAACCAUGGUCUGAUGCAAUAUUUCGAUGCUAUAUUUCGAUGCAGCGCUCUUUCAACAUUUUAUUAUUAUUAUUAACUAACUGAAAGGAAGCGAGCUUGCAGAAUCAUUAGCACUCUGGACGAAAUGCUUAAUGGUAUUUCGCCCGUCGCUGAGUUCAAAUUCUGCCAAGGUCGACUUUGCUUUUCAUCCUUUCGAGGUCGAUAAAAUAAGUACCAGUUGAAGAUUCAGGUCGAUAUAAUCGAAAAAUCCCCACCUCCUACCAAGCUGCCGUUGUAGUAAAAAUUAGAAAUAACUAUUAGCUAACUGAAAGGCGGCGAGCUGGCAGAAUCGUUAGCACGCUGGACAAUACACUUAGCGGUAUUUCGCCUGUCUCUGAGUUCAGAUUCCGCCGAGAUCGACAUUUUCCUUUUAUCAAUUUGGGGUCAAUAAAUCAAGUGCCAGUGAAACACUGAGAUCGAUGUAAUCGACUUACCCGCUCCCCUAAAUUUCAGGUGUUGCAUCUUUAGUAGAAAGGAUUAUUAACUAAC